GGGGAUGUAGCUCAGUGGUAGAGCGUGUACUUCGCGCGUACGUGGUCCCGGGUUCGAUUCCCGGUAUCUCCA
Molecule: non-coding RNA, 72 nt
Organism: Fukomys damarensis (Damara mole-rat)
Lineage: Eukaryota; Metazoa; Chordata; Mammalia; Rodentia; Bathyergidae
Source: Rfam